UGUACGUGUACUGCACAUGUACCAGGAAGACAAGAUAACAAUUAUGACUGUCAAUCAUCAUUUGCUGACUGUAUCUGUCAAGCUGACUACACAGACUAUAGUAGCCAAAGAUAAGUUGUAGAAAGUGUGUUUCAGAGUUGAAUAUAUGAAUUAAAGCAUUGGCACAGUGAAUGGCAGCUGAAAAAUUUUGACCCUUGUUUCUGGAAGUGAAAUGUUAGAUGGUUUGAUGAAGUGCCACAGAGAUUAUCGCUUAAAGAAUGCGUGCAGGCCAACCACCAACACAAGAUAUUAAAAGAGCAAUGAAAAUGAAGAUUUAACUAUAAAGAAAAAUCUGACUAAUAUUAUUACUCAUAACACUUAAUUGUUUCGUAUUAUUGUAAAUUUAUGCGAGUUUUCCUGUAUUCUGUUUAUUUUGCAACUUAUGUUAUUGUAAAUUCAUGUAUGUUUUCAUUCUUGCUCUGUCAUGCAUUUCAUACUAAUCGUUUGUUGUGCAUAUUAAUUAUAUGUGUAUAUUACAUCAUUGAAUUACUGUAUUUGAAUUUUAAUAAACCUUUUUACCAUUCA
Stegodyphus dumicola is the source of this 564-nucleotide long non-coding RNA. The record is from RefSeq and is a predicted model, not a curated record. Lineage: Eukaryota; Metazoa; Arthropoda; Arachnida; Araneae; Eresidae.